AUGCUGAUAGUGAAGCUGAGAAUGGUUGAUGUGGAUCUAGCUUCUGGCCGGCGGAAAGCAAAGCUGUCUAAAUCUCAUGGAAGAGUAGUCUAUCUCUCUUUGAGGGAUGAAAAGGCAAGGUUGCUGGCUAACCUCUCCCGGGCCUAUAUGCAGCCUGAUAACUAUGAGGAGGCUGAAAUGCUCUACAAGUAUAUAUCUCGGCCCUGA
This 207-nucleotide ribosomal RNA is filed under the name Triticum aestivum (bread wheat). RNAcentral describes it as "partial small subunit ribosomal RNA". The record is from RNAcentral. Lineage: Eukaryota; Viridiplantae; Streptophyta; Magnoliopsida; Poales; Poaceae.